AGACGGGGGGGGCGAGCGUUGUUCGGAAUUACUGGGCGUAAAGGGCGCGCAGGCGGCUUGGGAAGUCUUGGGUGAAAGCCCCCAGCUCAACUGGGGAACGGCCUGAGAAACCACUAGGCUGGAGUGCUGGAGAGGGAAGCGGAAUUCCCGGUGGAGCGGUGAAAUGCGUAGAUAUCGGGAGGAACACCAGAGGCGAAGGCGGCUUCCUGGACAGACACUGACGCUGAGGCGCGAAAGCUAGGGGAGCAAACGGGAUUAGAUACCCCAGUAGUCC
Molecule: ribosomal RNA, 274 nt
Filed under: uncultured bacterium
Lineage: Bacteria
Description: partial 16S ribosomal RNA
Rfam family: Bacterial small subunit ribosomal RNA
Source: RNAcentral